UGGGGAAUAUUGGACAAUGGGGGCAACCCUGAUCCAGCAAUGCCGCGUGUGUGAAGAAGGUCUUCGGAUUGUAAAGCACUUUCGACGGGGACGAUGAUGACGGUACCCGUAGAAGAAGCCCCGGCUAACUUCGUGCCAGCAGCCGCGGUAAUACGAAGGGGGCUAGCGUUGCUCGGAAUGACUGGGCGUAAAGGGCGUGUAGGCGGUUUACACAGUCAGAUGUGAAAUCCCCGGGCUUAACCUGGGAGCUGCAUUUGAUACGUGUAGACUAGAGUGUGAGAGAGGGUUGUGGAAUUCCCAGUGUAGAGGUGAAAUUCGUAGAUGUUGGGAAGAACACCGGUGGCGAAGGCGGCAACCUGGCUCAUGACUGACGCUGAGGCGCGAAAGCGUGGGGAGCAAACAGGAUUAGAUACCCUGGUAGUCCACGCUGUAAACGAUGUGUGCUAGAUGUUGGGUAACUU
Molecule: ribosomal RNA, 461 nt
Filed under: uncultured bacterium
Lineage: Bacteria
Description: partial 16S ribosomal RNA
Rfam family: Bacterial small subunit ribosomal RNA
Source: RNAcentral